GUAAGCUACUAAGAGCGAAUGGUGGAUGCCUUGACUGGUAAAGGCGAUGAAGGACGUACUAGACUGCGAUAAGCUACGGGGAGCUGUCAAGAAGCUUUGAUCCGUAGAUUUCCGAAUGGGGCAACCCAAUGUAUAGAGAUAUACAUUACCUAUAUAGGAGCGAACGAGGGGAAUUGAAACAUCUUAGUACCCUCAGGAAAAGAAAUCAAUAGAGAUUGCGUCAGUAGCGGCGAGCGAAAGCGCAAGAGGGCAAACCCAGUGCUUGCACUGGGGGUUGUAGGACUGCAAUGUGCAAGAGGUGAGUUUAGCAGAACAUUCUGGAAAGUAUAGCCAUAGAGGGUGAUAGUCCCGUAUGCGAAAAACAAACUUUAGCUAGCAGUAUCCUGAGUAGGGCGGGACACGAGGAAUCCUGUCUGAAUCCGGGUCGACCACGAUCCAACCCUAAAUACUAAUACCAGAUCGAUAGUGCACAAGUACCGUGAGGGAAAGGUGAAAAGAACUGAGGUGAUCAGAGUGAAAUAGAACCUGAAACCAUUUGCUUACAAUCAUUCAGAGCACUAUGUAGCAAUACAGUGUGAUGGACUGCCUUUUGCAUAAUGAGCCUGCGAGUUGUGGUGUCUGGCAAGGUUAAGCAAACGCGAAGCCGUAGCGAAAGCGAGUCUGAAUAGGGCGCUUAGUCAGAUGCUGCAGACCCGAAACGAAGUGAUCUAUCCAUGAGCAAGUUGAAGCUAGUGUAAGAACUAGUGGAGGACUGAACCCAUAGGCGUUGAAAAGCCCCGGGAUGACUUGUGGAUAGGGGUGAAAGGCCAAUCAAACUUCGUGAUAGCUGGUUCUCUCCGAAAUAUAUUUAGGUAUAGCGUUGUGUCGUAAUAUAAGGGGGUAGAGCACUGAAUGGGCUAGGGCAUACACCAAUGUACCAAACCCUAUCAAACUCCGAAUACCUUAUAUGUAAUCACAGCAGUCAGGCGGCGAGUGAUAAAAUCCGUCGUCAAGAGGGAAACAACCCAGACUACCAGCUAAGGUCCCUAAAUCUUACUUAAGUGGAAAACGAUGUGAAGUUACUUAAACAACCAGGAGGUUGGCUUAGAAGCAGCCAUCCUUUAAAGAAAGCGUAAUAGCUCACUGGUCUAGUGAUUUUGCGCGGAAAAUAUAACGGGGCUAAAGUAAGUACCGAAGCUGUAGACUUGACUUUGUCAAGUGGUAGGAGAGCGUUCUAUUUGCGUCGAAGGUAUACCGGUAAGGAGUGCUGGAGCGAAUAGAAGUGAGCAUGCAGGCAUGAGUAGCGAUAAUUAAUGUGAGAAUCAUUAACGCCGUAAACCCAAGGUUUCCUACGCGAUGCUCGUCAUCGUAGGGUUAGUCGGGUCCUAAGUCGAGUCCGAAAGGGGUAGACGAUGGCAAAUUGGUUAAUAUUCCAAUACCAACAUUAGUGUGCGAUGGAAGGACGCUUAGGGCUAAGGGGGCUAGCGGAUGGAAGUGCUAGUCUAAGGUCGUAGGAGGUUAUACAGGCAAAUCCGUAUAACAUACUCCGAGAACUGAAAGGCUUUUUGAAGUCUUCGGAUGGAUAGAAGAACCCCUGAUGCCGUCGAGCCAAGAAAAGUUUCUAAGUUUAGCUAAUGUUGCCCGUACCGUAAACCGACACAGGUGGGUGGGAUGAGUAUUCUAAGGCGCGUGGAAGAACUCUCUUUAAGGAACUCUGCAAAAUAGCACCGUAUCUUCGGUAUAAGGUGUGGUUAGCUUCGUACUAGGAUUUACUCCGAAAGCGAAGAAACUUACAACAAAGAGUCCCUCCCGACUGUUUACCAAAAACACAGCACUCUGCUAACUCGUAAGAGGAUGUAUAGGGUGUGACGCCUGCCCGGUGCUCGAAGGUUAAUUGAUGGGGUUAGCAUUAGCGAAGCUCUUGAUCGAAGCCCGAGUAAACGGCGGCCGUAACUAUAACGGUCCUAAGGUAGCGAAAUUCCUUGUCGGUUAAAUACCGACCUGCAUGAAUGGCGUAACGAGAUGGGAGCUGUCUCAAAGAGGGAUCCAGUGAAAUUGUAGUGGAGGUGAAAAUUCCUCCUACCCGCGGCAAGACGGAAAGACCCCGUGGACCUUUACUACAGCUUGACACUGCUAUUUGGAUAAGAAUGUGCAGGAUAGGUGGGAGGCUUUGAGUAUAUGACGCUAGUUGUAUAGGAGCCAUUGUUGAGAUACCACUCUUUCUUAUUUGGGUAGCUAACCAGCUUGAGUUAUCCUCAAGUGGGACAAUGUCUGGUGGGUAGUUUGACUGGGGCGGUCGCCUCCCAAAUAAUAACGGAGGCUUACAAAGGUUGGCUCAGAACGGUUGGAAAUCGUUCGUAGAGUAUAAAGGUAUAAGCCAGCUUAACUGCAAGACAUACAAGUCAAGCAGAGACGAAAGUCGGUCUUAGUGAUCCGGUGGUUCUGUGUGGAAGGGCCAUCGCUCAAAGGAUAAAAGGUACCCCGGGGAUAACAGGCUGAUCUCCCCCAAGAGCUCACAUCGACGGGGAGGUUUGGCACCUCGAUGUCGGCUCAUCGCAUCCUGGGGCUGGAGCAGGUCCCAAGGGUAUGGCUGUUCGCCAUUUAAAGCGGUACGCGAGCUGGGUUCAGAACGUCGUGAGACAGUUCGGUCCCUAUCUGCCGUGGGCGUAAGAAGAUUGAAGAGAUUUGACCCUAGUACGAGAGGACCGGGUUGAACAAACCACUGGUGUAGCUGUUGUUCUGCCAAGAGCAUCGCAGCGUAGCUAAGUUUGGAAAGGAUAAACGCUGAAAGCAUCUAAGCGUGAAGCCAACUCUAAGAUGAAUCUUCUCUAAGCUCUCUAGAAGACUACUAGUUUGAUAGGCUGGGUGUGUAAUGGAUGAAAGUCUUUUAGCUGACCAGUACUAAUAGAGCGUUUGGCUUAUCUUUA
Molecule: ribosomal RNA, 2906 nt
Filed under: Campylobacter jejuni subsp. jejuni 414
Lineage: Bacteria; Pseudomonadati; Campylobacterota; Epsilonproteobacteria; Campylobacterales; Campylobacteraceae
Description: bacterial LSU rRNA
Rfam family: Bacterial large subunit ribosomal RNA
Source: RNAcentral